CCGGGCGUCGGCCUGUGGG
Molecule: small RNA, 19 nt
Filed under: Arabidopsis thaliana (thale cress)
Lineage: Eukaryota; Viridiplantae; Streptophyta; Magnoliopsida; Brassicales; Brassicaceae
Description: Ath_wt_14857
Source: RNAcentral